This 103-nucleotide transfer RNA is filed under the name Nitrososphaerota archaeon. RNAcentral describes it as "Thaumarchaeota archaeon tRNA-Trp". It matches the Rfam family "tRNA". From Rfam's summary of the family: Transfer RNA (tRNA) molecules are approximately 80 nucleotides in length. Their secondary structure includes four short double-helical elements and three loops (D, anti-codon, and T loops). Lineage: Archaea; Thermoproteati; Nitrososphaerota. The record is from RNAcentral.
GGGGUCGUAGCGAAGCCAGGCAUCGCAACGGGCUCCAGACCCGUGGAUCGAGGGUUCAAAUGUUGUGAGUCAAUCAGCAACAGAAUAAAUCCCUUCGGCCCCA